CAAAAGCGUAUAUUAAAGUUGUUGCAGUUAAAAAGCUCGUAGUUGAACCUUGGGCUUGGCUGGCCGGUCCAUCUUUUUUGAUGCGUACUGGACCCAGCCGAGCCUUUCCUUCUGGCUAGCCUUUUGGCGAACCAGGACUUUUACUUUGAAAAAAUUAGAGUGUUCAAAGCAGGCCUUUGCUCGAAUAUAUUAGCAUGGAAUAAUAGAAUAGGACGUUAUGGUUCUAUUUUGUUGGUUUCUAGGACCAUCGUAAUGAUUAAUAGGGACGGUCGGGGGUAUCAGUAUUCAGUUGUCAGAGGUGAAAUUCUUGGAUUUACUGAAGACUAACUACUGCGAAAGCAUUUACCAAGGACGUUUUCAUUAG
RNAcentral lists this ribosomal RNA (364 nucleotides) under uncultured eukaryote. Its description in RNAcentral is "partial 18S ribosomal RNA". It matches the Rfam family "Eukaryotic small subunit ribosomal RNA", at positions 592 to 976 of the family's 1831-position model. The record is from RNAcentral.